Molecule: ribosomal RNA, 254 nt
Filed under: uncultured bacterium
Lineage: Bacteria
Description: partial 16S ribosomal RNA
Rfam family: Bacterial small subunit ribosomal RNA
Source: RNAcentral
CACGUAGGGGGCGAGCGUUGUCCGGAUUUAUUGGGCGUAAAGAGCUCGUAGGCGGCUCGGUAAGUGAGGUGUGAAAACUCCAGGCUCAACCUGGAGACGACACCUCAUACUGCCGUGGCUAGAGUCCGGUAGGGGAGCAUGGAAUUCCUGGUGUAGCGGUGAAAUGCGCAGAUAUCAGGAGGAACACCAGUGGCGAAGGCGGUGCUCUGGGCCGGAACUGACGCUGAGGAGCGAAAGCGUGGGGAGCAAACAGG